This 468-nucleotide ribosomal RNA is filed under the name uncultured bacterium. RNAcentral's name for it is "partial 16S ribosomal RNA". It matches the Rfam family "Bacterial small subunit ribosomal RNA", at positions 28 to 507 of the family's 1533-position model. The record is from RNAcentral.
GAUGAACGCUGGCGGCGUGCUUAACACAUGCAAGUCGAACGGAAAGGUCCAAGCUUGCUUGGGUCCUCGAGUGGCGAACGGGUGAGUAACACGUGGGUGAUCUGCCAUGCACUUCGGGAUAAGCCUGGGAAACUGGGUCUAAUACCGGAUAGGACGAUGGUUUGGAUGCCAUUGUGGAAAGUUUUUUCGGUGUGGGAUGAGCUCGCGGCCUAUCAGCUUGUUGGUGGGGUAAUGGCCUACCAAGGCGUCGACGGGUAGCCGGCCUGAGAGGGUGUACGGCCACAUUGGGACUGAGAUCCGGCCCAGACUCCGACGGGAGGCAGCAGUCGGGAAUAUUGCACAAUGGGCGCAAGCCUGAUGCAGCGACGCCGCGUGGGGGAUGACGGCCUUCGGGUUGUAAACUCCUUUCGCUAGGGACGAAGCGUUUUUGUGACGGUACCUGGAGAAGAAGCACCGGCUAACUACGUG